RNAcentral lists this unclassified non-coding RNA (391 nucleotides) under soil metagenome. RNAcentral's name for it is "partial contains 5.8S ribosomal RNA, internal transcribed spacer 2, and large subunit ribosomal RNA". The stretch from base 1 to 122 matches the Rfam family "5.8S ribosomal RNA", at positions 35 to 154 of the family's 154-position model. The record is from RNAcentral.
GAUGAAGAACGCAGCGAAAUGCGAUACUUGGAGUGAAUUGCAGAAUCCCGUGAACCAUCGAGUCUUUGAACGCAAGUUGCGCCCGAAGCCAUUAGGCCGAGGGCACGCCUGCCUGGGCGUCACACGUCGUUGCCCCCCCAUCUACUCCGUCGGGAUUGCGGGGGGCGGAUGAUGGCCUCCCGUGCGCCUCGUCGCGCGGUUGGCAUAAAUGCCAAGUCCUCGGCGACGCACGCCACGACAAUCGGUGGUUGCGAAACCUCGGUUGCCCGUCGUGUGCGGUCGUCGCGCAUCGAGGGCUCGAAAAAAUUGCCGGGCUCCGGCUCGGCUUUCAACGCGACCCCAGGUCAGGCGGGGUUACCCGCUGAAUUUAAGCAUAUCAAUAAGCGGAGGA